UAGGGGAGAAAUUCCAAUCGAACCCGGAGAUAGCUGGUUCUCCUCGAAAUAGCUUUAGGGCUAGCCUCAUGCAAGUCUUACGGAGGUAGAGCACUGAAUUCCUAAGGGGGCGUCAAAGCUUACCAAGGGAUAUCAAACUCCGAAUGCCGUGUAGAUGGUGCAUGGGAGUCAGACUAUCCGAGAUAAGUUGGGUAGUCAAAAGGGAAAGAGCCCAGACCUACAGCUAAGGUCCCAAAAUGUGUGUUAAGUGGAAAAGGAUGUGGGAUUUCGAAGACAACUAGGAUGUUGGCUUAGAAGCAGCCAUCCAUUAAAAGAGUGCGUAAUAGCUCACUAGUCGAGAGGUCCUGCGCCGAAAAUGUCCGGGGCUGAAACACACUACCGAAGCUUGGGAAUUGACGAAUGUUAAUUGGUAGAGGAGCAUUCUUAACGGGGCGAAGCUGUACCGGAAGGAGCAGUGGACUGUUAAGAAGAGAGAAUGCCGGAAUGAGUAGCGAGAGGAAGGUGAGAAUCCUUCCGGCCGAAUAUCUAAGGUUUCCAGAGUAAAGCUGAUCUGCUCUGGGUAAGUCGGGGCCUAAGGCGAGGUCGAAAGACGUAGUCGAUGGAUAACAGGUAAAGAUUCCUGUACUAUAUCAUAACAGAACUGUGGGGACGCAGACAGAGAGCAUAAGCCGGGAAUGGAAAAACCGGUACAAGCGAGGUAGGAGUGCAUCAGGCAAAUCCGGUGCACAAUCUGAAGACGUGAUGUGGGGCGUAAAGCCGGAAGUAUGUGAGCUGGCUGCCAAGAAAAGCCGCUAUUGUUUAUGAUAUACCCGUACCGUAAACCGACACAGGUGGAUGAGGAGAGAAUCCUAAGGCCGACGGGAGAAGCAUUGUUAAGGAACUCGGCAAAAUGACUCCGUAACUUCGGGAGAAGGAGUGCCAUGUAAAAGUGGCCGCAGAGAAUUGGCCCAAGCAACUGUUUAGCAAAAACACAGGUCUAUGCAAAACCGAAAGGUGAGGUAUAUGGGCUGACGCCUGCCCGGUGCUGGAAGGUUAAGGGGAGAGGUUAGUCGUAAGGCGAAGCUUUGAACUUAAGCCCCAGUAAACGGCGGCCGUAACUAUAACGGUCCUAAGGUAGCGAAAUUCCUUGUCGGGUAAGUUCCGACCCGCACGAAAGGCGUAAUGAUUUGGGCACUGUCUCGACAAUGCACCCGGUGAAAUUGAAGUACCAGUGAAGAUGCUGGUUACCUGCGCCAGGACGGAAAGACCCCAUGGAGCUUUACUCCAGCUUGAUACUGGGAUUCGAUAUUGCAUGUACAGGAUAGGUGGGAGACUGAGAACUGAUGACGCCAGUUGUCAGGGAGUCACUGUUGGGAUACCACCCUUGUAGUAUUGGAUUUCUAACCAGCAGCCGUGAACCGGCUGGGGGACAAUGUCAGGUGGGGAGUUUGACUGGGGCGGUCGCCUCCGAAAGGGUAUCGGAGGCGCUCAAAGGUUCCCUCAGAAUGGUUGGAAACCAUUCGAAGAGUGCAAAGGCAGAAGGGAGCUUGACUGCGACACCGACGGGUGGAGCAGGUACGAAAGUAGGACUUAGUGAUCCGGUGGUAUAAAGUGGGAUUGCCAUCGCUCAACGGAUAAAAGCUACCCUGGGGAUAACAGGCUUAUCACUCCCAAGAGUUCACAUCGACGGAGUGGUUUGGCACCUCGAUGUCGGCUCAUCGCAUCCUGGGGCUGAAGUAGGUCCCAAGGGUUGGGCUGUUCGCCCAUUAAAGCGGUACGCGAGCUGGGUUCAGAACGUCGUGAGACAGUUCGGUCCCUAUCCGGCGUGGGCGUAGGAUAUUUGAGAGGAGCUGUCCUUAGUACGAGAGGACCGGGAUGGACUGACCUCUGGUGUACCGGUUGGGUAUCAAACCCAUGGCCGGGUAGCCAAGUCGGGAAGGGAUAAACGCUGAAGGCAUCUAAGCGUGAAGCCCCCCUCAAGAUGA
Molecule: ribosomal RNA, 1964 nt
Filed under: human gut metagenome
Description: bacterial LSU rRNA
Rfam family: Bacterial large subunit ribosomal RNA
Source: RNAcentral